AUUGAACGCUGGCGGCAGGCCUAACACAUGCAAGUCGAGCGGACGAAGGGAGCUUGCUCCUGGAUUCAGCGGCGGACGGGUGAGUAAUGCCUAGGAAUCUGCCUGGUAGUGGGGGAUAACGUCCGGAAACGGGCGCUAAUACCGCAUACGUCAUGAGGGAGAAAGUGGGGGAUCUUCGGACCUCACGCUAUCAGAUGAGCCUAGGUCGGAUUAGCUAGUUGGUGGGGUAAAGGCCUACCAAGGCGACGAUCCGUAACUGGUCUGAGAGGAUGAUCAGUCACACUGGAACUGAGACACGGUCCAGACUCCUACGGGAGGCAGCAGUGGGGAAUAUUGGACAAUGGGCGAAAGCCUGAUCCAGCCAUGCCGCGUGUGUGAAGAAGGUCUUCGGAUUGUAAAGCACUUUAAGUUGGGAGGAAGGGCAGUAAGUUAAUACCUUGCUGUUUUGACGGUACCAACAGAAUAAGCACCGGCUAACUUCGUG
This 484-nucleotide ribosomal RNA is filed under the name uncultured bacterium. RNAcentral's name for it is "partial 16S ribosomal RNA". It matches the Rfam family "Bacterial small subunit ribosomal RNA", at positions 30 to 507 of the family's 1533-position model. The record is from RNAcentral.